UACGUAGGGUGCAAGCGUUAAUCGGAAUUACUGGGCGUAAAGCGUGCGCAGGCGGUUCCGCAAGUCAGAUGUGAAAUCCCCGGGCUCAACCUGGGAACUGCAUUUGAAACUACGGGGCUAGAGUGUGUCAGAGGGGGGUGGAAUUCCACGUGUAGCAGUGAAAUGCGUAGAGAUGUGGAGGAACACCAAUGGCGAAGGCAGCCCCCUGGGAUGACACUGACGCUCAUGCACGAAAGCGUGGGGAGCGAACAGG
RNAcentral lists this ribosomal RNA (253 nucleotides) under uncultured bacterium. RNAcentral's name for it is "partial 16S ribosomal RNA". It matches the Rfam family "Bacterial small subunit ribosomal RNA", at positions 524 to 776 of the family's 1533-position model. The record is from RNAcentral.